CCUUCCCUUACUUGCUCUCUGUCUCUCUCUCAAAAAUAAAUAAACAUUAAAACAUUUUUUAAAAGAGAAUAACACACAACUGUUAUAUGUUCUGAUAAUUUGGAAAUAAUGCAAUUAGAAAUGGGAGGCCUGAGGGAGAGGGAGAGAUGGAAGCAGAAUCUGCAUAUUGUUGUGCAGGCAAUGAUAAGAAUGCAGGUGUACCACUGAAAAGAAAAACUGGAUUGUUAAAGGUUAAAUAAGAAAACUGGGGAUAAGGGCAUUAAGAAACAUAGGUACAAAGGUAACUACUAGAAAAAAUACAAACCUUCCUAAAU
Long non-coding RNA from Leopardus geoffroyi (Geoffroy's cat), 314 nucleotides. RefSeq lists it as uncharacterized. The transcript has 2 exons. The record is from RefSeq and is a predicted model, not a curated record. NCBI's taxonomy places the organism in Eukaryota, Metazoa, Chordata, Mammalia, Carnivora, Felidae.